UAGUACCGUGAGGGAAAGGUGAAAAGAACCCCGGGAGGGGAGUGAAAUAGAACCUGAAACCCUGCACUUACAAGCUGUGGAAGCACAUUUCUUGUGUGACCGCGUACUUUUUGUAGAACGGGCCAACGAGUUACGUUAAGUAGCAAGGUUAAGCACUUAAGGUGCGGAGCCGUAGCGAAAGCGAGUUUUAACUGAGCGUUCAGUUACUUGACGUAGACCCGAAACCGGGCGACCUACCCAUGAGCAGGAUGAAGCGAAAGUAAAAUUUCGUGGAGGUCCGAACCCACGAGCGUUGAAAAGCUCGGGGAUGACUUGUGGGUAGCGGUGAAAUUCCAAUCGAGCCCGGAGAUAGCUGGUUCUCCCCGAAAUAGCUUUAGGGCUAGCCUCAAGGUGAGAGAUACGGAGGUAGAGCACUGAAUGUCCUAGGGGGUAUUGCACCUACCGAAGACUAUCAAACUCCGAAUGCCGUCAUCUUAUACUUGGGAGUCAGACUGUGGGUGAUAAGAUUCAUAGUCGAAAGGGCAACAGCCCAGAUCGUCAGCUAAGGUCCCUAAAUGUAAGUUAAGUGGUAAAGGAUGUGGGAUUGCACAGACAACCAGGAUGUUGGCUUAGAAGCAGCCACUCAUUCAAAGAGUGCGUAAUAGCUCACUGGUCGAGUGAUCCUGCGCCGAAGAUUUCCGGGGCUAAAACUUACUACCGAAGCUACGGCAUCAGUAAUGAUGGGUAGGGGAGCUUCCCAUACGGGUUGAAGCAUGACCGUAAGGACAUGUGGACAGUAUGGGAGUGAGAAUGUUGGCAUGAGUAGCGAGAUGUGGGUGAGAAUCCCACAGGCCGUAAACCCAAGGUUUCCAGGGGAAGGUUCGUCCGCCCUGGGUUAGUCGGGACCUAAGCUGAGGCCGAAAGGCGUAGGUGAUGGACAACAGGUUGAUAUUCCUGUACUACCGAUAACCGUUUGAGAGAAGGGAUGACACAGUAGGAUAAGCUAAGCACACUGUUGGUUAUGUGUGCCCAAGCAUUGAGGCAGUCAAAGUAGGCAAAUCCGCUUUGAUAAUGCUGGGAUGUGAUGGGGAGCGAAAUUUAGUAGCGAAGUAGCUGAUUUCACACUGUCAAGAAAAGUCUCUAUCGAGGUUAAAGGUACCCGUACCGCAAACCGACACAGGUGGGUGAGGAGAGUAUCCUAAGGCCAGCGAGAGAACUGUUGUUAAGGAACUCGGCAAAAUGACCCCGUAACUUAGGGAUAAGGGGUGCCACCAUCAGGUGGCCGCAGAGAAUAGGCCCAAGCGACUGUUUACCAAAAACAUAGGUUUCUGCUAAGUCGCAAGACGAUGUAUAGGAGCUGACGCCUGCCCGGUGCUGGAAGGUUAAGGGGAUCUGUUAGAGCAAUCGAAGCAGUGAACUUAAGCCCCAGUAAACGGCGGCCGUAACUAUAACGGUCCUAAGGUAGCGAAAUUCCUUGUCGGGUAAGUUCCGACCCGCACGAAAGGCGUAACGAUUUGGGCACUGUCUCAACAACAGACUCGGUGAAAUUGUAAUUCCGGUGAAGAUGCCGGAUACCUGCGACAGGACGGAAAGACCCCAUGGAGCUUUACUGUAGCUUGACAUUGGGUCUUGGUACUACAUGUACAGGAUAGGUGGGAGGCUUUGAAACCAGGACGCCAGUUUUGGCGGAGCCAUCCUUGGGAUACCACCCUUGUAGUACUGGGACUCUAACCAUAGGCCAUGAAUCUGGUCUUGGGACACUGUCAGGUGGGCAGUUUGACUGGGGCGGUCGCCUCCCAAAAGGUAACGGAGGCGCUCAAAGGUUCUCUCAGUACGGUCGGAAAUCGUACGUAGAGUGUAAAGGCAAAAGAGAGCUUGAUUGCAAGACAUACAGGUCGAGCAAGGAUGAAAAUCGGACUUAGUGAUCCGGUGGUUCUGCGUGGAAGGGCCAUCGCUCAACGGAUAAAAGCUACCCUGGGGAUAACAGGCUUAUCUCCCCCAAGAGUCCACAUCGACGGGGAGGUUUGGCACCUCGAUGUCGGCUCAUCACAUCCUGGGGCUGUAGUAGGUCCCAAGGGUUGGGCUGUUCGCCCAUUAAAGUGGUACGCGAGCUGGGUUCAGAACGUCGUGAGACAGUUCGGUCCCUAUCCGUCGCAGGCGUAGGAAAUUUGAGAAGACCUGUCCUUAGUACGAGAGGACCGGGAUGGACGUACCUCUGGUGUACCAGUUGUCCUGCCAAGGGCAUGGCUGGGUAGCUAUGUACGGAAUGGAUAAGCGCUGAAAGCAUCUAAGCGCGAAGCCAACUUCAAGAUAAGAUUUCCCACCGCAAGGGUAAGACCCCAGAAAGACUAUCUGGUUGAUAGGUCGAAGGUGUAAGUGCAGCAAUGUAUUUAGCUUAUCGAUACUAAUAGGUCGAGGACUUGACC
This 2405-nucleotide ribosomal RNA is filed under the name Clostridioides difficile. RNAcentral describes it as "bacterial LSU rRNA". It matches the Rfam family "Bacterial large subunit ribosomal RNA", at positions 496 to 2925 of the family's 2925-position model. The record is from RNAcentral. Lineage: Bacteria; Bacillati; Bacillota; Clostridia; Peptostreptococcales; Peptostreptococcaceae.